GUACCUGAAGAAAAAGCAUCGGCUAACUCCGUGCCAGCAGCCGCGGUAAUACGGAGGAUGCAAGCGUUAUCCGGAAUCAUUGGGCGUAAAGGGUCCGCAGGUGGCGAAUAAAGUCUGCUGUUAAAGACCGGGGCUAAACUCCGGAAAGGCAGUGGAAACUGAUUAGCUAGAGUACGGUAGGGGUAGAGGGAAUUCCCAGUGUAGCGGUGAAAUGCGUAGAUAUUGGGAAGAACACCGGUGGCGAAAGCGCUCUACUAGGCCGAGACUGACACUGAGGGACGAAAGCUAGGGUAGCGAAAGGGAUUAGAUACCCCUGUAGUCUUAGCGGUAAACGAUGGAUACUAGGUGUAGCUUGUAUCGACCCGAGCUGUGCCGAAGCUAACGCGAUAAGUAUCCCGCCUGGGGAGUACGCACGCAAGUGUGAAACUCAAAGGAAUUGACGGGGGCCCGCACAAGCGGUGGAGUAUGUGGUUUAAUUCGAUGCAACGCGAAGAACCUUACCAGGGCUUGACAUGUCGCGAAUCUAGCGGAAACGUUAGAGUGCCUUAGGGAAUGCGAACACAGGUGGUGCAUGGCUGUCGUCAGCUCGUGUCGUGAGAUGUUGGGUUAAGUCCCGCAACGAGCGCAACCCUCGUCCUUAGUUGCCAAUAUUAAGAUAGGCACUCUAGGGAGACUGCCGGGGACAACUCGGAGGAAGGUGGGGAUGACGUCAAGUCAGCAUGCCCCUUACGUCCUGGGCGACACACGUACUACAAUGGUUGGGACAAAGGGCAGCAAACUCGCGAGAGUAAGCGAAUCUCAUCAAACCCAGCCACAGUUCAGAUUGCAGGCUGCAACUCGCCUGCAUGAAGUAGGAUUCGCUAGUAAUCGCAGGUCAGCAUACUGCGGUGAAUUCGUUCCCGGGCCUUGUACACACCGCCCGUCACACCAUGGAAGCUGGCUACGCCCGAAGUCGUUACCCUAACCCGGUUUUGGGAGGGGGAUGCCGAAGGUAGAGCUAGUGACUGGGGUGAAGUCGUAACAAGGUAGCCGUACCGGAAGGUGUGGCUGGAUCACCUCCUUU
This 1063-nucleotide ribosomal RNA is filed under the name uncultured cyanobacterium. RNAcentral describes it as "bacterial SSU rRNA". It matches the Rfam family "Bacterial small subunit ribosomal RNA", at positions 475 to 1533 of the family's 1533-position model. The record is from RNAcentral. Lineage: Bacteria; Bacillati; Cyanobacteriota.